UCACCCACGACAGCCCGUGUGGGUACGGUGGGCCUCUCAGGGAGACAUGGAGAUGCCCUGGGGUAGACAGUGAGAAGGCUUCGGUGAGAAGCACUGGUGACUGACUGGUUCCAAGAGGGCAGGUUUCAGGGGACUCUGUGACCUCGUUAGCUGCUGGAAGAAGAAGCUGACAGAGCAGAUACACAAGCCAGAUGGGCGCAGAGUUCUUUGCCCAGGACUGACGAAGGCAUCCAGGGUGGGCCAGGCAUUGCUCGUCACAUCCCUCAUGUCACUGCCCGGUAGCGAUGGCGGGGUGGUUCUAGCUGCUGUGCACCGCCCACAGGCACCCUCCUGACAGGCCUUCAGCCUUUGGAAGCAGUGGCUGUGGUUUUCCUUCUUGGGAAUAAGAAGAAAUGCAACAGUGGCUACUCUGCAGCCACUGGAUGAGAGCCAAUUGCUUGACCCCUGAGGAAAGAGGGAGCUGCUUAAGUUCCAAUAAAUGCUCCCUGUACUCACUGCAAGGAGGCAGCGCACAGGGACCCUUCCUUCAGUGACUAAAGCAGACGGAUCACCGACCUUCUCAGACAGUCAGAGCUGCUUCUGUUUAGCCUGAGAUCCCCUUCAGACCUGAGAGCCAGUGCAGGCCAGAGCCUCGGUCCAGGUCCCCUGAGGACGCCGGCCUCAGCACCAGCCCGCACCACCAAGCCCUUGGCACGCAGGAGGACUGGGAGUUCGGUCUCCUCUCAUCUUUGCACGGGGCCCUGGCCUGCUGUGACCUCCUCCUCUCUGUUAACCUGGGGUGGGGCUAGGAGAUCCCCCGGGUUCCAGCCACAGCGGCCUCCUUCCACACCCCAGGAGGCUCCCUGGGUUGCAGCAGCCAUGGGGGAGGGGGGGACAUCCCCCAAGGGAUCAGUGGUGCUGGUGUUGUCAAGGGAGCAGCUGGGAAUAUUUGUAAAUAUUCACCUGGCAGGAGGACCCAGCCCUCAGCAAAAACGAACCUCCUUCUUCUCCUCCCCUCCCGGCAGGGCCUAUGCCUUUUCCAUGGGCACAGAGCCACUCAGAAUACCAAGUGGUACCGCAGGCUGGAAGCACUGGGACUUCCUCUUCCUCGCCAUAGCCUCCGCUGGAUCAGGGUUCAUGGAGAGUGAGUGGGUGGUGAAACCCACAGCUCUGGUGAUCCAGGAUGGGAGAAACAGGAAGAAGAGGACUUGGGGGGGAGCAGGUUGGCCCUGUGGUGGUGUUGUGGCAGAGGCAAAGCCGUGAAGCACAGUCCUGGCAUCGGGCCUGGGGCUAUCAGCUUAGUUCCAAGAAUGCUGGCUGGCGCAGUGUCUUAACCCAGCGCUCCAGGCUUCGCAGUCCAGCGGAUGGCUCUGUGAGGAAGGACUGCUUCUCACACACCUCUCCAACCUGACCGCCCCUCUCCACCCCUCAUUCCCAGGCCUGGCCCAGAUUCCCAUGCCAGCCUCCUCACAGGUCUCCCUGCCCUAACCAGUGAUGAAACUGAGCCAAUUACUCUCCUGCUACGCAGAUGUGACCAGGUCAUACUACUGCACCAAAAUAUUCUCUGGCUCUCGACUGCCUCAUGACCAAAGCCCAAGCUCAUCAAGCUGGCACUGAGGCCCUCUGCACCCCUCAGAGUCUUCCUUCCCUGAGAGCCACCCAGCUGCCCUCUGUAUCCACCUUCUUACAGUGGGGACCGAGGGCUCUGCAAACCUCCACGGCCCUCAGAAACGGCACCGAAGCACAAGCCAAGACACCAGAUCACCGAAGAACCUCCUCAACUCCCAGUGAGGAGCUGAAAAAGAAAAUUUCAUCCUCUUCUAGGGCCCAGGGACCUCAGCAAACAAGCUUGAGAAAGAGCCUACAGGGAGAUUCUGGUACUGGACUGAACUGGGCCCAAAUCCUGGCUCAGACUCUUGACAGCUGUGUGGUUUUGGGCAAGACACUGUGUCCCUCUGGGCCUCAGCUCACUCACGCUCCUGGACAGAGACCGCAAGCCUAGGUGUAUAAUGAGGAAAACACUUACUAGAUAAUGAUUAGCUGAAGAAACUAUUCCAUCUAUUUACCAGACAAAAGGGCUCAAAGACAACUUGCAAAAGCAGAUGCAUUCACGCCCUACCUUUCCAGCGGGCUCCUGGCACUGAGAAGGUUGCCAGGGCCUUGCCAAGUACCCCUCGCGUGCCCCCAUCCGGACCUCAUCUUCAGCCCUAGAAGGGAGCUCGCCUCCUCAUGCGCCCAUCUGAAACACUAGCUGCCCUGGUCAGAGAGGAUCUGGAGCGAGCAGCAGAGCGGGCAGGAGGGUCUUGGCCUCAGGAAGAGCGAUCCAUUUCCAUCGCUGGCCCAAACUGAGGUCAUACCAUAAGCCCUCCAGGUUCAAACCACAAAAGACACCGACUGCCUGUGCUCUUCAGAGGUCAACUGCAGGUCUUCAGGUACAGACCACAGCAAAGCGAGGCCCCAGCUGGCCUGGGAAGGCCGUUGGUCGUUGUUCAGCUGACCUACUGAGAGCGCCCAUUGGUUGCAUUCUCACUUGACCUGACACCUUACGACACCUUAAGCAAGGGAGCGGGAAGCCUCUGUAGCUGCUGAGGAGAGCACUGCGCAAGGAUAAAGAAACAGGAUCACACCUUCGGAGGCUUUGUCCUUGUCAAAAACAGUAAUGGCUGGGUGGGCCGGGGAUUUAGCUCAGUGGUUCCACUGCCUGCCUCACAAGAGCAAGGUCCUGAGUUUGAUCCCCAGGGUGACAAAAAAAUAAAAAAAAGUAAUGGCUGAGACCAAGGUAGCAAAUGUUUUAUGUAUAACAAAACUUCAGGAAUUCUCACAGUGUUGGGGGUGAACAUGGAAAAAGAAAUGGGAAGAGAAACGUCUGGG
Heterocephalus glaber (naked mole-rat) is the source of this 2850-nucleotide non-coding RNA. NCBI's taxonomy places the organism in Eukaryota, Metazoa, Chordata, Mammalia, Rodentia, Bathyergidae. The record is from RefSeq and is a predicted model, not a curated record.